Molecule: ribosomal RNA, 112 nt
Filed under: Mucor circinelloides
Lineage: Eukaryota; Fungi; Mucoromycota; Mucoromycetes; Mucorales; Mucoraceae
Description: 5.8S ribosomal RNA
Rfam family: 5.8S ribosomal RNA
About the family: 5.8S ribosomal RNA (5.8S rRNA) is a component of the large subunit of the eukaryotic ribosome. It is transcribed by RNA polymerase I as part of the 45S precursor that also contains 18S and 28S rRNA. Functionally, it is thought that 5.8S rRNA may be involved in ribosome translocation.
Source: RNAcentral
CAACUUUUAACAACGGAUCUCUUGGUUCUCGCAUCGAUGAAGAACGUAGCAAAGUGCGAUAACUAAUGUGAAUUGCAUAUUCAGUGAAUCAUCGAGUCUUUGAACGCAACUU